GUCCUAAGGUAGCGAAAUUCCUUGUCGGGUAAGUUCCGACCCGCACGAAUGGCGCAACGACUUGGGCGCUGUCUCAACGAGGGACCCGGUGAAAUUGCAUUACCUGUAAAGAUGCAGGUUACCCGUGGCUGGACAGAAAGACCCCGUGGAGCUUUACUGCAGCUUGACAUUGGACUUUGGUAUUACCUGUACAGGAUAGGUGGGAGGCUGCGAAGCCUGGGCGCCAGUUCAGGUGGAGCCGUUGGUGGGAUACCACUCUUGUAGUACUGGGGUUCUAACUUUUGGCCGUAAUCCGGUCUGAGGACAUUGUCAGGUGGGCAGUUUGACUGGGGCGGUCGCCUCCCAAAGGGUAACGGAGGCGCCCAAAGGUUCCCUCAGCGCGGUUGGGAAUCGCGCAGAGAGUGUAAAGGCAGAAGGGAGCUUGACUGCGAGACGUACAUGUCGAGCAGGGACGAAAGUCGGGCUUAGUGAUCCGGCGGUGCUGUGUGGAAAGGCCGUCGCUCAACGGAUAAAAGCUACCCCGGGGAUAACAGGCUUAUCUCCCCCAAGAGUCCACAUCGACGGGGAGGUUUGGCACCUCGAUGUCGGCUCAUCGCAUCCUGGGGCCGGAGUAGGUCCCAAGGGUUGGGCUGUUCGCCCAUUAAAGCGGUACGCGAGCUGGGUUCAGAACGUCGUGAGACAGUUCGGUCCCUAUCCGCCACGGGCGCAGGAAACUUGAGAGGAGCUGCCCCUAGUACGAGAGGACCGGGGUGGACGGACCUCUGGUGUACCAGUUGUCCCGCCAGGGGCACCGCUGGGUAGCCACGUCCGGAUGGGAUAAACGCUGAAAGCAUCUAAGCGUGAAGCCCACCUCAAGAUGAGGUUUCCCACCUUCUCGAGGCUUGCCUUGGGGAGGGUAAGACCCCUUGCAGAUGACAAGGUAGAUAGGCCAGGAGUGUAAGGGCAGAGAUGCCUUUAGCUGACUGGUACUAAUCGGUCGAGGGCUUGACCUC
RNAcentral lists this ribosomal RNA (992 nucleotides) under biogas fermenter metagenome. RNAcentral describes it as "bacterial LSU rRNA". It matches the Rfam family "Bacterial large subunit ribosomal RNA", at positions 1948 to 2925 of the family's 2925-position model. The record is from RNAcentral.